GAUGAAGAAACGUAGCGAAAUGCGAUAAGUAGUGUGAAUUGCAGAAUUCAGUGAAUCAUCGAAUCUUUGAACGCACAUUGCGCCCCUUGGUAUUCCAUGGGGCAUGCCUGUUCGAGCGUCAUUUGUACCCUCAAGCUUUGCUUGGUGUUGGGUGUUUGUCCCGCGUUGCGCGUGGACUCGCCUUAAAGCGAUUGGCAGCCGGCAUAUUGGCCUUGGAGCGCAGCACAUUUUGCGCUUCUAGUCAUGAAUGUUGGCGUCCAUUAAGCCUAUACAUUUGCUCUUGACCUCGGAUCAGGUAGGGAUACCCGCUGAACUUAAGCAUAUCAAUAAGCGGAGGA
This 338-nucleotide unclassified non-coding RNA is filed under the name soil metagenome. Its description in RNAcentral is "partial contains 5.8S ribosomal RNA, internal transcribed spacer 2, and large subunit ribosomal RNA". The stretch from base 1 to 121 matches the Rfam family "5.8S ribosomal RNA", at positions 35 to 154 of the family's 154-position model. The record is from RNAcentral.